AUUGAACGCUGGCGGAAUGCUUUACACAUGCAAGUCGAACGGCAGCACGGGGCAACCUGGUGGCGAGUGGCGAACGGGUGAGUAAUACAUCGGAACGUGCCCAAUCGUGGGGGAUAACGUAGCGAAAGUUACGCUAAUACCGCAUACGAUCUACGGAUGAAAGCGGGGGAUCGCAAGACCUCGCGCGAAUGGAGCGGCCGAUGUCAGAUUAGGUAGUUGGUGGGUAAAGGCUCACCAAGCCGACGAUCUGUAGCUGGUCUGAGAGGACGACCAGCCACACUGGGACUGAGACACGGCCCAGACUCCUACGGGAGGCAGCAGUGGGGAAUUUUGGACAAUGGGCGCAAGCCUGAUCCAGCCAUUCCGCGUGCAGGAUGAAGGCCU
RNAcentral lists this ribosomal RNA (384 nucleotides) under uncultured bacterium. RNAcentral describes it as "bacterial SSU rRNA". It matches the Rfam family "Bacterial small subunit ribosomal RNA", at positions 30 to 417 of the family's 1533-position model. The record is from RNAcentral.